AUACGUAGGCAGCAAGCGUUGUUCGGAGUUACUGGGCGUAAAGAGUAUGUAGGCGGUUGCGUAAGUUCGGUGUGAAAUCUCCCGGCUUAACUGGGAGGGUGCGCCGAAAACUGCGUGGCUUGAGUGUGGGAGAGGAGAGCGGAAUUCCUGGUGUAGCGGUGAAAUGCGUAGAUAUCAGGAGGAACACCGGCGGUGUAGACGGCUCUCUGGACCAUUACUGACGCUGAGAUACGAAAGCGUGGGUAGC
RNAcentral lists this ribosomal RNA (247 nucleotides) under uncultured bacterium. RNAcentral's name for it is "partial 16S ribosomal RNA". It matches the Rfam family "Bacterial small subunit ribosomal RNA", at positions 523 to 769 of the family's 1533-position model. The record is from RNAcentral.